This 458-nucleotide ribosomal RNA is filed under the name uncultured eukaryote. RNAcentral's name for it is "bacterial SSU rRNA". It matches the Rfam family "Bacterial small subunit ribosomal RNA", at positions 467 to 916 of the family's 1533-position model. The record is from RNAcentral.
AAAUGACGUGUACCUGAAGAAUAAGCACUCGGCUAACUCCGUGCCAGCAGCCGCGGUAAGACGGAGGAUGCAAGUGUGAUCCGGAAUCACUGGGCGUAAAGCGUCUGUAGGUGGUUUAGUAAGUCAACUGUUAAAUCUUGGAGCUUAACUUCAUAAUCGCAGUCGAAACUGCUAGACUAGAGUAUAGUAGGGGUAAAGGGAAUUUCCAGUGGAGCGGUGAAAUGCGUAGAGAUUGGAAAGAACAUCCGAUGGCGAGAGGCACUUUACUGGGCUAUUACUGACACUCAGAGACGAAAGCUAGGGUAGCAAAAUGGGAUUAGAUACCCCAGUAGUCUCUAGCCGUUAAACAAUGGAUACUAGAUGUUGAACAGAUCGACCUGUGCAGUAUUAAAGCUAACGCGUUAAGUAUCCCGCCUGGGAAGUAUGCUCGCAAGAGUGAAACUCAAAGGAAUUGACGG